UGCUAGAAAUCAAUCUAACUAUAAUAGUAUUAUUUAUUGCUCAUUUGAUUACAAACAUCUUAACUAAAUAAAUAAAAAAUACAUGCACUGGAGACCAACAUCUUAGUGAAAGAGUUCAUUCUUACAUGUAUGGCUUUUUGGGUAUCUCUCUUAGGAAAAUUUCACAUAGCUCGUUAACACACUUAUAAUAGCUAUAUGUAAAUACAUUUGGACAAUCUUCAUCGACUUUACAUUUAAUCCAUCCUGCAAAGGCACCAUCAACCUCUUUUGUAACAAGAAACAUGGAAAGAAAUGAAAUUAUAACGUAAAUAAACUUGAG
Molecule: long non-coding RNA, 319 nt
Filed under: Medicago truncatula (barrel medic)
Lineage: Eukaryota; Viridiplantae; Streptophyta; Magnoliopsida; Fabales; Fabaceae
Description: lncRNA gene35765
Source: RNAcentral